This 467-nucleotide ribosomal RNA is filed under the name uncultured bacterium. RNAcentral describes it as "partial 16S ribosomal RNA". It matches the Rfam family "Bacterial small subunit ribosomal RNA", at positions 29 to 507 of the family's 1533-position model. The record is from RNAcentral.
ACGAACGCUGGCGGCGUGCUUAACACAUGCAGGUCGAACGGAAAGGCCCUGCUUUUGUGGGGUGCUCGAGUGGCGAACGGGUGAGUAACACGUGAGUAACCUGCCCUUGACUUUGGGAUAACUUCAGGAAACUGGGGCUAAUACCGGAUAGGAGCUCCUGCUGCAUGGCGGGGGUUGGAAAGUUUCGGCGGUUGGGGAUGGACUCGCGGCUUAUCAGCUUGUUGGUGGGGUAGUGGCUUACCAAGGCUUUGACGGGUAGCCGGCCUGAGAGGGUGACCGGCCACAUUGGGACUGAGAUACGGCCCAGACUCCUACGGGAGGCAGCAGUGGGGAAUAUUGCACAAUGGGCGGAAGCCUGAUGCAGCAACGCCGCGUGCGGGAUGACGGCCUUCGGGUUGUAAACCGCUUUCGCCUGUGACGAAGCGUGAGUGACGGUAAUGGGUAAAGAAGCACCGGCUAACUACGUG